Molecule: ribosomal RNA, 2907 nt
Filed under: Salmonella enterica
Lineage: Bacteria; Pseudomonadati; Pseudomonadota; Gammaproteobacteria; Enterobacterales; Enterobacteriaceae
Also listed under: 1 other name
Description: 23S ribosomal RNA
Rfam family: Bacterial large subunit ribosomal RNA
Source: RNAcentral
GGUUAAGCGACUAAGCGUACACGGUGGAUGCCCUGGCAGUCAGAGGCGAUGAAGGGCGUACUAAUCUGCGAUAAGCGCCGGUAAGGUGAUAUGAACCGUUAUAACCGGCGAUACCCGAAUGGGGAAACCCAGUGUGAUUCGUCACACUAUCAUUAACUGAAUCCAUAGGUUAAUGAGGCGAACCGGGGGAACUGAAACAUCUAAGUACCCCGAGGAAAAGAAAUCAACCGAGAUUCCCCCAGUAGCGGCGAGCGAACGGGGAGGAGCCCAGAGCCUGAAUCAGCAUGUGUGUUAGUGGAAGCGUCUGGAAAGGCGCGCGAUACAGGGUGACAGCCCCGUACACAAAAGCGCAUGUGCUGUGAGCUCGAUGAGUAGGGCGGGACACGUGGUAUCCUGUCUGAAUAUGGGGGGACCAUCCUCCAAGGCUAAAUACUCCUGACUGACCGAUAGUGAACCAGUACCGUGAGGGAAAGGCGAAAAGAACCCCGGCGAGGGGAGUGAAAAAGAACCUGAAACCGUGUACGUACAAGCAGUGGGAGCACAGGUUUACCUGUGUGACUGCGUACCUUUUGUAUAAUGGGUCAGCGACUUAUAUUCUGUAGCAAGGUUAACCGAAUAGGGGAGCCGGAGGGAAACCGAGUCUUAAUUGGGCGUUAAGUUGCAGGGUAUAGACCCGAAACCCGGUGAUCUAGCCAUGGGCAGGUUGAAGGUUGGGUAACACUAACUGGAGGACCGAACCGACUAAUGUUGAAAAAUUAGCGGAUGACCUGUGGCUGGGGGUGAAAGGCCAAUCAAACCGGGAGAUAGCUGGUUCUCCCCGAAAGCUAUUUAGGUAGCGCCUCGUGAAUUCAUCUCCGGGGGUAGAGCACUGUUUCGGCUAGGGGGCCAUCCCGGCUUACCAACCCGAUGCAAACUGCGAAUACCGGAGAAUGUUAUCACGGGAGACACACGGCGGGUGCUAACGUCCGUCGUGAAGAGGGAAACAACCCAGACCGCCAGCUAAGGUCCCAAAGUCAUGGUUAAGUGGGAAACGAUGUGGGAAGGCCCAGACAGCCAGGAUGUUGGCUUAGAAGCAGCCAUCAUUUAAAGAAAGCGUAAUAGCUCACUGGUCGAGUCGGCCUGCGCGGAAGAUGUAACGGGGCUAAACCAUGCACCGAAGCUGCGGCAGCGACACUGUGUGUUGUUGGGUAGGGGAGCGUUCUGUAAGCCUGUGAAGGUGUGUCGUGAGGCAUGCUGGAGGUAUCAGAAGUGCGAAUGCUGACAUAAGUAACGAUAAAGCGGGUGAAAAGCCCGCUCGCCGGAAGACCAAGGGUUCCUGUCCAACGUUAAUCGGGGCAGGGUGAGUCGACCCCUAAGGCGAGGCCGAAAGGCGUAGUCGAUGGGAAACGGGUUAAUAUUCCCGUACUUGGUGUUACUGCGAAGGGGGGACGGAGAAGGCUAUGUUGGCCGGGCGACGGUUGUCCCGGUUUAAGCGUGUAGGUGUGUGUUCCAGGUAAAUCCGGUUCACUUUAACACUGAGGCGUGACGACGAGGCACUACGGUGCUGAAGCAACAAAUGCCCUGCUUCCAGGAAAAGCCUCUAAGCAUCAGGUAACAUCAAAUCGUACCCCAAACCGACACAGGUGGUCAGGUAGAGAAUACCAAGGCGCUUGAGAGAACUCGGGUGAAGGAACUAGGCAAAAUGGUGCCGUAACUUCGGGAGAAGGCACGCUGACACGUAGGUGAAGUGAUUUACUCAUGGAGCUGAAGUCAGUCGAAGAUACCAGCUGGCUGCAACUGUUUAUUAAAAACACAGCACUGUGCAAACACGAAAGUGGACGUAUACGGUGUGACGCCUGCCCGGUGCCGGAAGGUUAAUUGAUGGGGUCAGCGCAAGCGAAGCUCCUGAUCGAAGCCCCGGUAAACGGCGGCCGUAACUAUAACGGUCCUAAGGUAGCGAAAUUCCUUGUCGGGUAAGUUCCGACCUGCACGAAUGGCGUAAUGAUGGCCAGGCUGUCUCCACCCGAGACUCAGUGAAAUUGAACUCGCUGUGAAGAUGCAGUGUACCCGCGGCAAGACGGAAAGACCCCGUGAACCUUUACUAUAGCUUGACACUGAACAUUGAGCCUUGAUGUGUAGGAUAGGUGGGAGGCUUUGAAGUGUGGACGCCAGUCUGCAUGGAGCCGACCUUGAAAUACCACCCUUUAAUGUUUGAUGUUCUAACGUGGACCCGUUACCCGGGUUGCGGACAGUGUCUGGUGGGUAGUUUGACUGGGGCGGUCUCCUCCUAAAGAGUAACGGAGGAGCACGAAGGUUGGCUAAUCCUGGUCGGACAUCAGGAGGUUAGUGCAAUGGCAUAAGCCAGCUUGACUGCGAGCGUGACGGCGCGAGCAGGUGCGAAAGCAGGUCAUAGUGAUCCGGUGGUUCUGAAUGGAAGGGCCAUCGCUCAACGGAUAAAAGGUACUCCGGGGAUAACAGGCUGAUACCGCCCAAGAGUUCAUAUCGACGGCGGUGUUUGGCACCUCGAUGUCGGCUCAUCACAUCCUGGGGCUGAAGUAGGUCCCAAGGGUAUGGCUGUUCGCCAUUUAAAGUGGUACGCGAGCUGGGUUUAGAACGUCGUGAGACAGUUCGGUCCCUAUCUGCCGUGGGCGCUGGAGAACUGAGGGGGGCUGCUCCUAGUACGAGAGGACCGGAGUGGACGCAUCACUGGUGUUCGGGUUGUCAUGCCAAUGGCACUGCCCGGUAGCUAAAUGCGGAAGAGAUAAGUGCUGAAAGCAUCUAAGCACGAAACUUGCCCCGAGAUGAGUUCUCCCUGAGACUUAGAGUCUCCUGAAGGAACGUUGAAGACGACGACGUUGAUAGGCCGGGUGUGUAAGCGCAGCGAUGCGUUGAGCUAACCGGUACUAAUGAACCGUGAGGCUUAACCUU